This is a non-coding RNA of Verticillium alfalfae VaMs.102, 83 nucleotides long. Lineage: Eukaryota; Fungi; Ascomycota; Sordariomycetes; Glomerellales; Plectosphaerellaceae. The record is from the annotation of a RefSeq genome assembly.
AGGGUGAUGAUGAAAUUGGUAGACAUGAAUAGUUUAGGACUAUUUGAUUUCAAAUCAUAUCCGUUCAAGUCGGGUUCACCUUA